This 506-nucleotide ribosomal RNA is filed under the name uncultured bacterium. RNAcentral describes it as "partial 16S ribosomal RNA". It matches the Rfam family "Bacterial small subunit ribosomal RNA", at positions 29 to 523 of the family's 1533-position model. The record is from RNAcentral.
AGUGAACGCUGGCGGUAGGCCUAACACAUGCAAGUCGAACGGCAGCACAGGAGAGCUUGCUCUCUGGGUGACGAGUGGCGGACGGGUGAGGAAUACAUCGGAAUCUACUCUGUCGUGGGGGAUAACGUAGGGAAACUUACGCUAAUACCGCAUACGACCUACGGGUGAAAGCAGGGGACCUUCGGGCCUUGCGCGAUUGAAUGAGCCGAUGUCGGAUUAGCUAGUUGGCGGGGUAAAGGCCCACCAAGGCGACGAUCCGUAGCUGGUCUGAGAGGAUGAUCAGCCACACUGGAACUGAGACACGGUCCAGACUCCUACGGGAGGCAGCAGUGGGGAUUAUUGGACAAUGGGCGCAAGCCUGAUUCAGCCAUACCGCGUGGGUGAAGAAGGCCUUCGGGUUGUAAAGCCCUUUUGUUGGGAAAGAAAUCCAGCUGGCUAAUACCCGGUUGGGAUGACGGUACCCAAAGAAUAAGCACCGGCUAACUUCGUGCCAGCCGCCGCCGUAA